CAUUGGUUAGUCUCUCCUUUGCUUCAUGCAAGUCUUCCUCUUUCUCAGUAAUUUUAAUUGAAAGCAAAGGUCAUCCACCAUGAACAUACUUCUGAGAUCCUGCACAGCAAUAAAAAGAAAAUAUUUCAUACAGACGGUUCUCAAUACACUCAUAGAACCAACCGCAACAUGAAAACUAUUUGAUGUUAGAGAAUUAUUUUGUAUACACAGUAUCCCUUUGCAUCAACCUGCAUAUUGGUCCAUAAUGUCACUGCAGCUUCUUGUAUUGUUAUAUUAUGGCAAAAUAGACAGCAACUAUAAUCAUCUAGAUCAUAACCACUAGAGUAAGAAAAUUAGAUUUGAGAAGCAGUAUGGCAACCAUUUUAUGACAGUUAUGGAAAUUUAUAUUAAUGCAAUGCACGAAUGAAGAGUAUUUCUGAGGAGAAAAGGUUCUUAACCGAGUACAGCAUAAACAUCAUUAGCUCAACAUCAAUGAUAACUAAAGCUUGCAUGCCUUGGCAAAAUCUACCAUUGCAUAUAAAUAACCACAGCUAGUCAAAGUCGGGAAACUAGAUUGAAUGAUCUACUUGAGCUAUGUGGUUCUAAAAUUCAAGCUGAAUUCCUCUUUGAAAGGGAUGGGCGAUUCCAAGGAGUUUGCUGGGGAGCUUUUUGUCACCUUAGCAAGACGGAGGAACCUGGAACCAGAGAAUGGAAUUACAAAAGAUAAAUUAAAGGAGUUCUGGGAAGAGAUGACAGAUCAAAACUUUGAUUCCUCCCUACGGAUAUUCUUCGACAUGUAAUCAUCUCCUUCCUCUCUCUUUUUCAGCACUUGACAAUGCAGUUAUUACAUGAUGCGAGCUGAUCUGUUGCAUUAGGUGCGACAAGAAUGGUGAUGGAAAACUUACAGAAGAUGAGGUGAAAGAGGUCUGCAGUUGAAAUCCUUUAAAUUACUGUCAAUUCCCUGUCCAGAAAUGCUUUUAUCAGUUAAGAUUUGGGGUAAAAUAUUGAUUUAGAUCUCUGUCUUCAUUCAAAGGUCAUCAUUUUGAGCGCCUCAGCAAACAAACUUGCAACAUUGAAGGGGCACGCUGCAACCUAUGCUGCCCUCAUAAUGGAGGAACUAGAUCCUGACCAUCUUGGCUAUAUUGAGGUACUGAGAAACCUGUUAUAAUUUCCAAUAAUUUUUGGAAGUUGCCAAAUUUGUUCAAACAUGAGAUCUAGCAGAUAAAAGAGAGUGAUACUUACCAUUAUCGAUCACUUCACCAGAUUUGGCAGCUUGAAACAUUGCUGCGAGGGAUGGUGAACUCACAGGGAAACGAGAAAAUAGUCAAAUGUAGUCGUAGCGUUGCAAGAACAAUGACACCAAAGUGGUACAGAAACCCAAUCAACAGAAGUGUCGGCAAGACAGCAGAUUUCAUUCAUGAGAACUGGAAGAGGAUAUGGGUUCUUUCGCUAUGGCUGGCACUGAACAUAGAACUAUUUCUAUGGAAAUUCUUCCAGUACAGGAGGAGAUCAACAUAUGAAGUGAUGGGCUAUUGUGUCUGUGUAGCCAAGGGUGCAGCAGAGACCCUGAAACUGAACAUGGCACUCAUUCUCCUUCCCGUUUGUCGAAACACUCUUACAAGGCUCAGAUCAACGGCAUUUAGUUCAGUCAUCCCGUUUGAUGACAACAUUAACUUCCACAAGGUAAGGAGGCCCUUCCACCACCAAAUCUACUGAAAAGAUCUUUAACACAAUAUUUAUUUAUCUUUCGAUUUGCCAUCUUUUGCAGACAAUUGCAUUGGCCAUCACAAUUGGGAUUGUUAUCCAUACAAUUGCUCAUGUAGCAUGUGAUUUUCCAAGAUUAAUCACAUGCCCAAAGCCAAAAUUAAUUAAUUUAUUAGGACCCAGUUUCAGCUAUCAGCAACCCACAUAUUUAACUCUAUUAUCCAGCGCUCCAGGGGUCACUGGUGUCCUCAUGGUCAUCAUAAUGAUAUUCUCUUUCACCCUAGCAACACAUUCUUUCAGGAGAAGUGUGGUGAAGUUGCCAUCACCUCUGCACCAUUUGGCUGGAUUCAAUGCAUUUUGGUAUGCGCACCAUCUUCUGGUGCUUGUGUAUGUCCUCCUUGUUGUGCAUUCCUACUUCAUUUAUCUCACUAGGGAAUGGUACAAGAAGACGGUAGGGCCCUGCCUUCUCUGUGGUACACAAAUAUCCCCAUCAUUAUCAGCAAACAUCAAUGAUAUGAAGCAAAAAUCUAAUGUUUGUGCAGACAUGGAUGUACCUAUCAAUUCCAGUCCUCUUUUAUGCCUGUGAAAGACUAAUCAGAAAAUUUCGUGAGAGAAACUAUUGUGUGAGCAUUGUUAAGGUAAGGUACACGUCAUGAUAUAUAUAACUUCAAGUAGUAGGAGAAUGAACAUUCACUGUCAAAUCAACAGGCAGCAAUAUAUCCAGGCAAUGUGCUUUCAAUACAUAUGAAAAAGCCACCAGGGUUCAAAUAUAAGAGUGGAAUGUACCUGUAUGUCAAAUGUCCAGAUGUCUCACCCUUCGAAUGGUAUAUGUUAACCAGCUCUCAAGAUAUUAUGUCUCAAUUAUAAUUUUCCUGUAUUCAGCUUCUAAUUUGAUUUUAACAGGCACCCCUUCUCCAUCACUUCUGCACCAGGAGAUGACUACUUGAGUGUUCAUAUCCAGACCUUGGGAGACUGGACAACAGAGCUUAGGAAUUUAUUUGGAAAGGUUAGGUCAAGUCAAUAAAAGCAACUUGAAAUUCUAGGGAAUACUAAAUUAUGAAGGCCAGAAUAACUAAAGCAAACUUCUCUGAUACAGGUUUGUGAGUCUCAAGUUGUGUCUAAGAAGGCCAACCUAGUUAGACUUGAAACAGCAGUUGCAGCAGAUGCUCAAAUUCAAGAAACUAGGUGAGCAGAAAAUAUAUUAUUGUUUUUACCAACUCACUCUGCGCGAAAUUUCAGCAACCCCCCAGCUUCCCAUAGUAAUAGAACUCUCUUGCAGAUUCCCAAAGCUCCUGAUAGAUGGGCCUUAUGGUUCACCAGCUCAAAAUUACAAAAAAUAUGAUAUUCUUUUGCUCAUCGGGCUCGGAAUUGGUGCAACUCCAUUUAUCAGCAUACUAAAGGAUCUCCUCAACAAUCUGAAGUCAAAUGAGGUAAGUUAUAUGCAAUACUGUUUUGAGUGUAUAAAAGAUAUCACUAAACAAAAAGAACACCACUAACAAGCUUGACACUGAUGUAGGAAAUACAGAAUAUACACAAGGCAGAUGUAAACAACAUGAAAGGAAAUGGUCCGGGAAGAGCUUACUUUUAUUGGGUGACAAGGGAACAAGGUUCCUUUGAAUGGUUUAAAGGUGUCAUGAAUGAUGUGGCAGAAAAUGAUGAUAAUGUACUUCAUAGAAAAUCUAUUGCUUCCUUUACCCUCUACUCUGCAGUUCCAUUUUCCUUUGCAGAUUAACUGGUUAAAAGUGUUUGGCUAUUGCAGAAUGUUAUAGAAAUGCACAACUAUUUGACCAGUGUGUAUGAAGAAGGUGAUGCAAGGUCAGCUCUGAUUGCAAUGGUUCAGUCAAUACAACUUGCCAAGAAUGAUGUUGAUAUCAUCUCUGGCAAUCGGGUAAUUAUCUUUCAGGUAUAAUUUUGGUGCAAUCAAGCAAAAGAAUACAUAUUCUUAUUUCUGACUCAUUCAUGACAGAUUCGGACCCACUUUGCAAGGCCAAACUGGAGGAAAGUGUUCUCAGACUUAGCCAAUACCCACAAGUCUUCUCAUAUAGGUAAGAUUUUCUCAAGUAAUCUGGGCAUUUGAAUUAUUUAUGCACUUCAUAAUUUAUGGACUGCAGGUGUUUUCUACUGUGGAUCCCCAACCCUUACAAAACAACUGAGACAUCUUUCACAAGAAUUCAGCCAUACUACCAGAACCCGCUUCCAUUUCCACAAGGAGAACUUUUAAAAUGGAGCAAAGAUAUAUUGAUGAACAACAUAUACUUGUACAGAAAAAGGAAAAGAAGAGAGGCAGAAGUAUGACAUGUUUUGUUAGAUAUCCUAUGUACAGAAUUUCUAUUUCUAGUUGUUUUUAGUUAUCUUUGCAUCAUACACAUACAUGGAGAGUAAGUCCAACCAACAAAAACUUCAAAUGAGUGAGACAUGAUUUUCUGUUCAGCUUUUAUUAACACAAGUGUAAGGAUUAUUCAGGAAAGUUCUUUUAUUCCAAGAGAAGUACUUUGAACCAAUAAUUCUCUUUUCUUUUGCUUUUCGGCUGUAGCAGUUCUCUCACUUUGUUUCUGAAAUUUUCUAUGCCUCUUUGAAGUUCUUGUGUAGUUACUUCCUUAUUUGGAGUAGCCCGUAUUAAUUGUCUUCCACCUUCUGAUACAGUUGUACUGGUCUUUUGCAACAACCCCAACAAAUUCACCAUGCUUGCUGCAUUCUGAUAAUUUUCUGACCUAGCUGCAUCUUUGCCUGGUUCAGAUACAGGCUUGUCAGAGUAGCACACUUACAACGAAGUUUUAGUACUUUCUUUCUGAAUCAUGCUCUGCCUCCUUUUGCUGCCAAAAAAUCUACUUCUAAUUGCUUUUCACCCCUUAAUUCACUCGUUUGGGAUGCUUCAUGGAGCUCCAAUGUCUUCUUUGUGCUUCCUACACUUUUAGUGUGGAUAUUUCACACUUGGGCUUUUAGUGUAAUGGGAAUGUCGAGCAGUAACAACAUAUCCUCCAGUUCAUGCCACUCAAGAUCUUCAAGAUCACCAUCUUGUUUUAGUUCACACAAUCUCUCCUUUCGCUUAACUCAUACAGUGCUGACGAUGAAGAAACUAAACCAUGCAUGCAGGUGACCUAAAAGAAUUUUAUCAGAUGGAUUAAAUAGGAUGCUAGCAAGAACCAAAAUGGGGGGAAAAACACAACACUGAUAGAAGAUGUGAAAAUCUAUAGGCAAUCUAGCAAAUCUUUAUUUAGCAUGGAGUUCAGAAAUCCAUAAUCAUGAGAACCAUAUCCAAUGCAAAUAGAUCAGACGUCAGAUAACUUAUGCUGCAUGAUAUUCUCUUGAAAAUGGCACCCAAGGAAAGAGAUUGAAUAGCCUCGUAGCAUAUAUUACCUUGACUUCAAAUGAGCUACUCCUAGAAUCCUGGUUGGAUACAUUGAUAUCACACAUUCAACUUAGGAAUCCCUCAACAAAUUAUGUGCACUAAACUCCUAGAAAGAACCAGCACCAAGCCCACCCUUGCACAGGUCCAUCUGCCCUCAGGUAUGCUGUCUCGAUACCAAGCUCUGUACCGGUGCCACUCUAUUACUGUGUCAGCAUAUGCCCGGUACUAUAUACUGUUCGGCCGUACUAUCCAAUUCGGUACGGUAUGGUAUACCUUGAUAUGCUCCCUUGGAUUGGCAUUUGGACAUAGUUAAGAGCAUCAUAUAGAGCAACUACCUUACCGUCCUCAUCCAAUGCUGCCCCCUCUGCUCAUUUUCCUACAUAAACUUAAAGAUGGUGUACAUCCCGCUAGUUUCAAGGCAAAACCAUAUUCAACUUGUUCCAAUAAGAGAUGACAUCGCAAAUAACAACAGGAUAUCAAAUAACAAAUCAAAGUGGAAAAAAAAGGAACAGUUAUUCUUAUUUGUCCGAAAUUACUAAGAGAUAGGGCACGGACCUCACAAAUAACAAGAGAAUAUCAAAUCUUUCUGUUCUCCACCCCCACUCCCCCUUUCAGAGAUAUCAUGUUCAAAUAAUUAACUUCUUAAAACCGUAUCCAAAGUUCAAAAAAGCCACAGCAUCGUUACCCAUUUAAACGAUAUGCCGACUCCUGCCACCAAAAGCCGUAAAAGUUUAAUCUUUUCCUUCCCUUCCACUUCCCUGAAACCUUGCUCCGGGAUUUCGAGCUCGAAUCGAGCUACGGCCGUGCUCAGCCAUGCCUGCUUAACCUGAGUUCGCGGACCACUCGAACAAUCAGACUCCCAAGCCCAGCACCUAGGUUUACAUCUAUCUAGGGUUUGAAAACGGGGUGUUUUGGAAUCGGGAUCACGGCGCGAGACGAAGAUCACCGCCGGGACUCGAAGAGGAGGAGGAAAGAGAGAAAGAAAGAUAGGGUUUUGAGUGGAAGACCUAGAGAGAAGAGAUCCAAAGAACGAACUCCGUCGAUUCUGCGACCUCCAUCGCCGUCGUCGCCACCGCCGCCGGCGGGGUGACGGGGUGGGGAGAGGGAGCAACGGUGACCAGGAGGGGUAGGACGAACCUGG
RNAcentral lists this long non-coding RNA (6173 nucleotides) under Phoenix dactylifera (date palm). RNAcentral's name for it is "long non-coding RNA (PDAC_LNC000459)". The record is from RNAcentral. Lineage: Eukaryota; Viridiplantae; Streptophyta; Magnoliopsida; Arecales; Arecaceae.